This 107-nucleotide transfer RNA is filed under the name Candidatus Thorarchaeota archaeon SMTZ-45. RNAcentral's name for it is "tRNA-Lys". It matches the Rfam family "tRNA". From Rfam's summary of the family: Transfer RNA (tRNA) molecules are approximately 80 nucleotides in length. The record is from RNAcentral. Lineage: Archaea; Promethearchaeati; Candidatus Thorarchaeota.
GGGCCGGUGGCGCAGCUAGGUAGCGCAGCAGGCUUUUAACCUGAGGGCCGCGGGUUCAAACAGUUCGGGAAUUCCUCGAAUUGGAACACAUCCCGCCCGGCCCGCCA